ACCCGCUGAACUUAAGCAUAUCAAUAAGCGGAGGAAAAGAAACCAACAGGGAUUGCCCUAGUAACGGCGAGUGAAGCGGCAACAGCUCAAAUUUGAAAUCUGGCGUCUUUGGCGUCCGAGUUGUAAUUUGUAGAGGAUGCUUUUGGGCAGCCACCGGUCUAAGUUCCUUGGAACAGGACGUCAUAGAGGGUGAGAAUCCCGUAUGUGACCGGCUUAGGCACCCUAUGUAAAGCUCCUUCGACGAGUCGAGUUGUUUGGGAAUGCAGCUCUAAAUGGGAGGUAAAUUUCUUCUAAAGCUAAAUACCGGCCAGAGACCGAUAGCGCACAAGUAGAGUGAUCGAAAGAUGAAAAGCACUUUGGAAAGAGAGUUAAAAAGCACGUGAAAUUGUUGAAAGGGAAGCGCUUGCAAUCAGACUUGCCCGCGGUUGUUCAGCCGGUCUUCUGACCGGUUUACUCUUCCGUGGGCAGGCCAGCAUCAGUUUCGGUGGCCGGAUAAAGGCCUUGGGAGUGUAGCACCCCUUCGGGGGUGUGUUAUAGCCCAGGGUGUAAUACGGCCUGCCGGGACUGAGGUCCGCGCUUCGGCUAGGAUGCUGGCGUAAUGGUUGU
Molecule: ribosomal RNA, 606 nt
Filed under: uncultured fungus
Lineage: Eukaryota; Fungi
Description: eukaryotic LSU rRNA
Rfam family: Eukaryotic large subunit ribosomal RNA
Source: RNAcentral